This 267-nucleotide ribosomal RNA is filed under the name uncultured bacterium. RNAcentral's name for it is "partial 16S ribosomal RNA". It matches the Rfam family "Bacterial small subunit ribosomal RNA", at positions 793 to 1055 of the family's 1533-position model. The record is from RNAcentral.
GUCCACGCUGUAAACGAUGAGCGCUAGGUGUUGGGGGUAUUGACCCCCCCAGUACCGCAGCUAACGCGUUAAGCGCUCCGCCUGGGGGAGUACGGCCGCAAGGCUAAAAACUCAAAGGAAUUGACGGGGGCCCGCACAAGCGGUGGAGUAUGUGGUUUAAUUCGACGCAACGCGCAAAACCUUACCUGGGGUUAAAAUCCACAAGAACCUUACAGAGAUGUAGGGGUGCCUUCGGGAGCUUGUGAGACGGUGCUGCAUGGCUGUCGU